UCAGUCGACUCCUACGGGGAGGCAGCAGUGGGGAAUAUUGCACAAUGGGGGAAGCCCUGAUGCAGCCAUGCCGCGUGUGUGAAGAAGGCCUUCGGGUUGUAAAGCACUUUCAGUAGGGAGGAAGGUAGUGUAGUUAACACCUGCAUUAUUUGACGUUACCUACAGAAGAAGCACCGGCUAACUCCGUGCCAGCAGCCGCGGUAAUACGGAGGGUGCGAGCGUUAAUCGGAAUUACUGGGCGUAAAGCGCAUGCAGGCGGCCUGUUAAGUCAGAUGUGAAAGCCCGGGGCUUAACCUCGGAAUUGCAUUUGAAACUGGCAGGCUAGAGUCUUGUAGAGGGGGGUAGGAAUUUCAGGUGUAGCGGUGAAAUGCGUAGAGAUCUGAAGGAAUACCAGUGGCGAAGGCGGCCCCCUGGACAAAGACUGACGCUCAGAUGCGAAAGCGUGGGGAGCAAACAGGAUUAGAUACCCUGGUAG
Molecule: ribosomal RNA, 475 nt
Filed under: uncultured bacterium
Lineage: Bacteria
Description: bacterial SSU rRNA
Rfam family: Bacterial small subunit ribosomal RNA
Source: RNAcentral